Molecule: ribosomal RNA, 741 nt
Filed under: uncultured Xiphinematobacteriaceae bacterium
Lineage: Bacteria; Pseudomonadati; Verrucomicrobiota; Spartobacteria
Description: bacterial SSU rRNA
Rfam family: Bacterial small subunit ribosomal RNA
Source: RNAcentral
CGGGGUUUAUGGAGUAGCAAUACGAAAUAAAUCUAGUGGCGAACUGGUGCGUAACACGUGAGCAAUCUGCCGAGAAGUGGGGGAUAACUCGCCGAAAGGCGAAUUAAUACCGCAUAUGGCCAGGAGGGACAUCCUUCCGAAGCCAAAGCCUAUAGGGUAACUUAUGGGCGCUUCUUGAUGAGCUCGCGGCCUAUCAGCUAGUUGGUGAGGUAAAGGCUCACCAAGGCUAUGACGGGUAGCUGGUCUGAGAGGACGACCAGCCACACUGGAACCGAGACACGGUCCAGACACCUACGGGUGGCAGCAGUCGAGAAUUUUUCACAAUGGGGGCAACCCUGAUGGAGCGACGCCGCGUGGAGGAUGAAGGUAUUCGUAUCGUAAACUCCUGUCAAACGGGAACAAGAAAGUGAUAGUACCGUUAGAGGAAGAGACGGCUAACUCUGUGCCAGCAGCCGCGGUAAUACAGAGGUCUCAAGCGUUGUUCGGAUUCAUUGGGCGUAAAGGGUGCGCAGGCUGUGGGGUAAGUCGGAUGUGAAAUUUAGAGGCUCAACCUCUAAACUGCAUUCGAUACUGCUUCGCUAGAGGUAUGUAGAGGAGAUUGGAAUUCACGGUGUAGCAGUGAAAUGCGUAGAUAUCGUGAGGAAGACCAGUGGCGAAGGCGAAUCUCUGGGCAUUACCUGACGCUCAUGCACGAAGGCCAGGGGAGCAAACGGGAUUAGAUACCCCGGUAGUCCUGGCAGU